CCUCAUGCUGGACAUGGAUGAUAUCAGUGAGUCAGUUUGUGUGUGUGUAUUGGUCUUUCUUUUAUUUAUUUAGCUAUUUCUGUCUCUCUUCAUAUGUUUUUGUCAGUCUUGCUUUCUCUCCUCCACAUUUCUACCGCUUUCCGUACUCUAAUGUAUUGAGUAAUGAGGUUAUUAAGUAUGACGCACUGAAGGAGUUUAUGGCCACGACACUGACAGUCUAAGUGUUUAUUGGAAAGCAGUCUAAAGCCAGUUCUUGGCCUCCAGUCAAAUUGAAGACUCAGCUAAGUCCGGAGAGAAUAAUUAUAAAGUCGUGAUUAGUAUCAGGACUUGGCAGAAAAUAAAAGAAUUGGGUGAAAUUAGUCAACUAACAGUAGUAGUUUUUUUUUUAUCAUACAGGGUGGACUUGUUUAGCUUCCGCUGUAAAUUUAAUAAAAUAUGUAUUCACCCGUCUCAUUCAGGCUGUGGACUUAACAUGUGAUGCGUCCAUGGAGCAGGCCCCAGUUUUUCUUUCACUCAUUUUGUUUUUCUACAAAUGUUCAAAAGAUAUCCCACAAUCAUGGGAUUAGAGGAGUAGGCAACCGUGAUACCACAUCAAGGUUGGCUUAGAAGGGGAUCUCCUGUCCUACCAGCGCGCCUGGCAGGCACCCUGUGGCCACGCUGUCAUCCAGAGCCUUUGUGUCAAAGAUAAGCGCUCCCGAAGGCCUCCCGCCCAAACAUGUGCGUGUUCGCAACCCGGCCAUUACCUGGUGUCUCUUUGUGCCGCGCUUCUGGGAACAGACCCGUGCCGGAAACCAUGCCUGCGCGACUCUAAUGGUUCACCCCAUAGUCACUUGUUUCUCGCCGUCGCUCACUGUGGUCCGCGGAGAGCUGAUGGCAGGCGGCAUUUGUGCAGGCAGCUACGGACACUGUUUUUGACGUGAUUUAACAUCAUAUUUUAAUCGAACGGGUUGCAAAAAUCUGCAUACAAACAUAGUGUAUUAGUUGAUGGUGCCCCGGGCCCCUUAGACGUACUGCGCCCCUGGGUGAGGGACCAGUUGCCCUAAUGGUUAAUCCGGCCCUGCUCAAGCAGAACUACGUUAUCAUGGCCGCGGCCCAACCGUUUGAACUUCUCUUCUAUAAUGCUAUAUUUUGUGCUGCAGCCUGCAGUUAAUAUAUGUUGAUUGCCGCACUGCUCUGCAAUGGUACCUCCAACCACAACCCCCCCCCCCCCCCCCCAACACCAAUCCCCCUGUGGUAUUCUACGCCACCCCUAGUCCUAAUCCUAAUCCUAGUCCGGACUCACUACCAGAAUAUCUCCCGCACUCAUUUUGACUGAAUCGCCCCUAGGUUAAAUUCUGAUUGGAAUAUACUGUACAAAACACACAACCAAACUCAAGACGUACCCUGUAGGUGUCCCCACCCAUGUAUGACAGAACCGCCCUUUACAGUUCUGUUAUAUAUCAUCCUCACGCGCUCCCAGCACGCCGGCUCUCUCCACUUUCUCCUGCACUUUCUUCUCAUGCAUUAGUCACAUGUCUUCACCUUGCGUUCCCCCAUCAGCGUCUAGUCCUGACAGCCGCCCUGGAUGCCCACUAUAUCCUGUAGAAUAAACUUCAUAAUGAGUAUAAUUCACUAUAUCAUGAUUGGAAUUCACUAUUUCUUGAGUAGACUCCACUUUAUACUGAGUAGAAUCGACUAUAUACUGAGUAGAAUCCCCUUUGAACAGAGCAGAAGUCCAUAUAUUGUAGAAGCCAGCCACUACUGAAAUCAUAGUUCUCUAGAGAGUUGUGAAGAUUUCAGUCUAAUCAAGUCAGCAAGUACAGUUCCCAUGAAUCCCAACCUUUCAUCACAAAGACCAGAACAUUUCAACACGUUUGAAGCUCUGUUUUAUCGUUAUUCUAUUCAAUUACUAAUUACAAAUCACUGCUACGCUCAAACUUGCAGCUCCUGGCCUAAGUUUCUGUAGUGAACGUCUGCUUUGCUUGAUGCUAUGCCCAAACGUAUGAUGAGCAGGAUACAAAACAUGCUGUCUUUCGCCAGCAGCUACUGCUGGAGUACUGGACCUGAAAGAGAUUUGCUAGAUUCUCACAUCAGGUCACAGUGUGGUUAUUAAAAGCUAGCAUGCUCAUCAUGCGGCCUUUAUGGCAGCAUGAUGUCUAGCAGGGCUGGCAGGGGCGCACCCCGCUUAAGUUGCUAACCGUUGCCCUAUGAGACAUUGAAAUCUCCAUCAGCGACUAAUAACUAAAUAAUGACUGCUUCAGCCUGAGGGUAUUUCGACGAAAUCUCUUAAGAAGAGGAUGCUUAGGCCUAAAAAAAAAAAGACAGAGAGAGAGAGAGAGAGAGAGAGACAGAGAGCUCAAUCCUGUUGGUUGUCAGUUGAGGUCAUGGGUAGGUAGGGAAUUUAUUUUCUUUUUUUCCUGCGGCAGCGAAUGUUAGGUAGGUUGUUUUCAUUUAAAAACGAGAAAAUUCGCUCAUCCUUUUACAGAAUGAAGAGAUGCUGUACACAAACAUAAUUAUAGUUUGCAUCAAUAUUAUUAUUAUUAUUAUUUAUUUUAUUUUUUUAAAGCUCAUAACAUAAUUUGGGUCGCACAUAAAUUGACAGGGUCAGUCGGAAACCGGAACCGAACAUUUUUUUUUUUUAGGCCUUACCAUAAAAUGUGUACUGUAUUGCUACUUCUAUAACAUUUUAACAUUAUCCCCAACAACAUAGCUUUAUAUUGCUAUAACAACCGAGGGAUUUUCCGGAUGUAUUCUCAGACGUGUGUUAGAGACUGGUGAGUGUAGACUGGGAGUUCAGGGCUUUGGAAAAGGAUGAUGGCUCGACUACACAUGUAUGAGCUUGAGGCAUAGCUAGGCUACCACCAACAUAAGGUGAGAAUACCAGCCAUUGUUAUCUGUUGUGUGGGUUUGUGUCUGCCACACGGUUACUGCCAACUAACGCAAGAUAUUUUGUAGUAAAAAGUGAAAACAUAUAUAUAUAUGGAAAACAAAAUCAUAUCUGUGUCAGCCAAGUGGAUGUGAAAUCCAAGCGAUGAUAUCAGAUAAAUAUAUCAUUUAUUAGAAAAGGUACAAAUGGAUCUAACAGGAUUGUAUAUCUUCUUAUUUCUUUCUAAGACACAAUUUCAUAUUGUGCUGUCGGGCCUUUGGCUGCCAUGUGCACAAACUUCCCACAUUAGGUCACAGUGUUUCACUUUCACACUUUGUCACAACUGGUCUGUCACUCAACCCUGCAUCGCCCAUGCCUCCUCCUCUCCCUCAUCUUCCUCAUCGUCACAGUAGGGCAACAACGCCUUACGUGUGCCAAAAUAAAUAGCAACCGAUGUGUAUUUUAGGUUAUAGGCCAAUGCAAAAUGUAAAUAUAUUUUAACAAAGGGUUUGUCAAAUAACAAACAAAAAAAAUUAUAUAUAAUAAUCAUAAAAGCAUAAAAACACCUGAGGGUGGUGUGGUGUUGGACGUCACGCAUGCUGGCUUCCCCCACUCACUUCAUCCUUUAACCCAGGGGUUCUCAAAGUUUUGACAACUGAGGGCCAAUUUAGGAACCCAAAACUUGACCGAGGGCCGCCAAAGGAA
Long non-coding RNA from Gadus macrocephalus (Pacific cod), 3550 nucleotides. RefSeq lists it as uncharacterized. The transcript is spliced from 2 exons. Lineage: Eukaryota; Metazoa; Chordata; Actinopteri; Gadiformes; Gadidae. The record is from RefSeq and is a predicted model, not a curated record.